This 247-nucleotide ribosomal RNA is filed under the name uncultured Actinomycetales bacterium. RNAcentral describes it as "partial 16S ribosomal RNA". It matches the Rfam family "Bacterial small subunit ribosomal RNA", at positions 86 to 334 of the family's 1533-position model. Lineage: Bacteria; Bacillati; Actinomycetota; Actinomycetes; Actinomycetales. The record is from RNAcentral.
GGUGCUCGAGUGGCGAACGGGUGAGUAACACGUGAGUAACCUGCCCUUGACUUUGGGAUAACUUCAGGAAACUGGGGCUAAUACCGGAUAGGAGCUCCUGCUGCAUGGUGGGGGUUGGAAAGUUUCGGCGGUUGGGGAUGGACUCGCGGCUUAUCAGCUUGUUGGUGGGGUAGUGGCUUACCAAGGCUUUGACGGGUAGCCGGCCUGAGAGGGUGACCGGCCACAUUGGGACUGAGAUAAGGCCCAG